RNAcentral lists this ribosomal RNA (1132 nucleotides) under Escherichia coli. Its description in RNAcentral is "partial 23S ribosomal RNA". It matches the Rfam family "Bacterial large subunit ribosomal RNA", at positions 612 to 1746 of the family's 2925-position model. Lineage: Bacteria; Pseudomonadati; Pseudomonadota; Gammaproteobacteria; Enterobacterales; Enterobacteriaceae. The record is from RNAcentral.
AUAAUGGGUCAGCGACUUAUAUUCUGUAGCAAGGUUAACCGAAUAGGGGAGCCGAAGGGAAACCGAGUCUUAACUGGGCGUUAAGUUGCAGGGUAUAGACCCGAAACCCGGUGAUCUAGCCAUGGGCAGGUUGAAGGUUGGGUAACACUAACUGGAGGACCGAACCGACUAAUGUUGAAAAAUUAGCGGAUGACUUGUGGCUGGGGGUGAAAGGCCAAUCAAACCGGGAGAUAGCUGGUUCUCCCCGAAAGCUAUUUAGGUAGCGCCUCGUGAAUUCAUCUCCGGGGGUAGAGCACUGUUUCGGCAAGGGGGUCAUCCCGACUUACCAACCCGAUGCAAACUGCGAAUACCGGAGAAUGUUAUCACGGGAGACACACGGCGGGUGCUAACGUCCGUCGUGAAGAGGGAAACAACCCAGACCGCCAGCUAAGGUCCCAAAGUCAUGGUUAAGUGGGAAACGAUGUGGGAAGGCCCAGACAGCCAGGAUGUUGGCUUAGAAGCAGCCAUCAUUUAAAGAAAGCGUAAUAGCUCACUGGUCGAGUCGGCCUGCGCGGAAGAUGUAACGGGGCUAAACCAUGCACCGAAGCUGCGGCAGCGACGCUGAUGCGUUGUUGGGUAGGGGAGCGUUCUGUAAGCCUGCGAAGGUGUGCUGUGAGGCAUGCUGGAGGUAUCAGAAGUGCGAAUGCUGACAUAAGUAACGAUAAAGCGGGUGAAAAGCCCGCUCGCCGGAAGACCAAGGGUUCCUGUCCAACGUUAAUCGGGGCAGGGUGAGUCGACCCCUAAGGCGAGGCCGAAAGGCGUAGUCGAUGGGAAACAGGUUAAUAUUCCUGUACUUGGUGUUACUGCGAAGGGGGGACGGAGAAGGCUAUGUUGGCCGGGCGACGGUUGUCCCGGUUUAAGCGUGUAGGCUGGUUUUCCAGGCAAAUCCGGAAAAUCAAGGCUGAGGCGUGAUGACGAGGCACUACGGUGCUGAAGCAACAAAUGCCCUGCUUCCAGGAAAAGCCUCUAAGCAUCAGGUAACAUCAAAUCGUACCCCAAACCGACACAGGUGGUCAGGUAGAGAAUACCAAGGCGCUUGAGAGAACUCGGGUGAAGGAACUAGGCAAAAUGGUGCCGUAACUUCGGGAGAAGG